This 429-nucleotide ribosomal RNA is filed under the name bacterium. RNAcentral describes it as "partial 16S ribosomal RNA". It matches the Rfam family "Bacterial small subunit ribosomal RNA", at positions 355 to 776 of the family's 1533-position model. The record is from RNAcentral.
UAGGGAAUCUUCGGCAAUGGGGGCAACCCUGACCGAGCAACGCCGCGUGAGUGAAGAAGGUUUUCGGAUCGUAAAGCUCUGUUGUAAGAGAAGAACGUGUGUGAGAGUGGAAAGUUCACACAGUGACGGUAACUUACCAGAAAGGGACGGCUAACUACGUGCCAGCAGCCGCGGUAAUACGUAGGUCCCGAGCGUUGUCCGGAUUUAUUGGGCGUAAAGCGAGCGCAGGCGGUUUAAUAAGUCUGAAGUUAAAGGCAGUGGCUUAACCAUUGUUCGCUUUGGAAGCUGUUAAACUUGAGUGCAGAAGGGGAGAGUGGAAUUCCAUGUGUAGCGGUGAAAUGCGUAGAUAUAUGGAGGAACACCGGUGGCGAAAGCGGCUCUCUGGUCUGUAACUGACGCUGAGGCUCGAAAGCGUGGGGAGCAAACAGG